Molecule: ribosomal RNA, 253 nt
Filed under: uncultured bacterium
Lineage: Bacteria
Description: partial 16S ribosomal RNA
Rfam family: Bacterial small subunit ribosomal RNA
Source: RNAcentral
UACGUAGGGGGCUAGCGUUGUCCGGAUUUAUUGGGCGUAAAGAGCGUGUAGGCGGCCAGGUAGGUCUGCUGUGAAAACUCGAGGCUCAACUUCGAGCUGUCGGUGGAAACUUUCUGGCUAGAGUCCGGAAGAGGAGAAUGGAAUCCCUGGUGUAGCGGUGAAAUGCGCAGAUAUCAGGAAGAACACCCGUGGCGAAGGCGGUUCUCUGGGACGGUACUGACGCUGAGACGCGAAAGCGUGGGGAGCGAACAGG